Long non-coding RNA from Talpa occidentalis (Iberian mole), 2259 nucleotides. RefSeq lists it as uncharacterized. The record is from RefSeq and is a predicted model, not a curated record. NCBI's taxonomy places the organism in Eukaryota, Metazoa, Chordata, Mammalia, Eulipotyphla, Talpidae. The transcript has 3 exons.
GUCUUUCCUGUAGGUUGGGCUCACUGGAGGCUGACUCAGAAAGGAUCAGAGUACAGGAAGUUUAUUAGAGAGUGCAGUCAAAAUUACAAGCAGAAAAAAAAAGUGCAGAUAAAGGACCAGGCAGCUGGAAAAGCAGUGCAGCAGUUCAGUCACAAUAAGGUUGUAGCCAACUGCUUGGGAAGCUCUGCAGUUGGAUGGCUCUUCAGAGUUGUCGCUUAUUGUGAUGCGGGGUUUCUACACUUUUAUAUCAACUAGUCAUUGAUAGAGGCUUCUCUGAAAAGGAGACAUGACUUUGAACCAUGCAGUUCUCUCCAGUCAAGGACAAUUCUCUGAAAUAACUUAUGUAACUGGAGGCUGAAGCCAAAGACUGUUACAGGCUACAGGAGGUGCCCCCUGUGGGGGCGGAGCGGGGAUUCCUGGUGAGGAUAGAUAGCCCCAAGGAAAAUGCAAGCAAAGUAUAGGUGGGGGUAGAGACUAAUAAGAAACCUAAAGGACUGUAGAAGUCCCCAGGAUUGAGUGUUCAGGAUUCAGCUUUUGGGAUUUUCAGUGUUUUCAGAUCUUCAGUGAUUUCGGAGUCAGCAAUUUCUACCCCCACCAUGCCAAUCUUCCAGAAGCCUGUUCUGGGCCUCUGAAGGACUUUCAGAGGCUUCCAGCAGCCAACCUCAGAGAAGAAAAGUUUGGAGGCUUUGCAAGUAUCCGAGCAACUCACACUGUUUACAGUUUUGCUGCUGUUAAGAGCCUGGCAGGGAAGGUGAAGAUCCAGAGCUGGGUGCCUUGCAGAACUGCAUGAGUGCGGGCCACUUACUGCAUUGAUUGGCUGCUGCAGCUGCUGUUUCCUGUGUUGCUUCUCUGGUGCUGUGCUGGCUUAUCUCUGUAGCUCCGGGUGGUCCCCAGGAAAGGAGGAGGUUCCAGGUUCCCUGCCCCACCCAAAUGGAGGGUGGAGCUGAGCAGGGAGAGAAGAAGCUGCAGAGGAGACUGAGGAAGGAAGCAGGAUGGAGACAGGAGACCUGGAGGAGGCACAUGGAGCCUAGAGACACGUGAAGAAACUGCGCUUCUCUUUUGGUCUUGGACGGGGUGACACAGAUGUGGGUGAGACCCGUGGGGAGUGAUUAUGAACGCCUGUGCCUCUUUUGAAAUCGAUUAAAGAAAGGUAAGUUUGCUAAUAGAAGAUGACAUAGAAUCUUUUGACAAUUUGCUAUGUGUCCUGCACAUGCUGGACUAAGAUGUACGCUUAUAAAAUUCUGUUGCAACACUUUAGAUGGAUGUAUUCUGUUGGUGUUAACAGAUAAACAGCACUCAGCUAAAAUGUACCUUGUACAGCAAAUAAAAAAAAAAGGAAGCUUGCAGAUAAGUAAUUAAUUUCAGGGAAAAAAUAUGAGUAGUCUAGAAAAUAAACUUUGCUAAAGAUUUCAGCAGAAAUGUGGCAUUACAAUGUGUACAGAAAGGAUUUUAAAAAUCUUAUUUUUGUUAAAUAACAAGUAGAAAUUAAGCAACAAUAGGUUAUAUGUGCACAGAACAAAUAAUGAGACAAACCAGAAGCCCACUUUUGUUAUUUAACUAGGUUUGGUAGACAAAAACAAUUACAAUGGUACUUGUUUAAACAUCUCACCAUACUCCAAGAAGAGUUGGAAAAUCAAGGCACAGAACUUCAUUCAGGGUCCAUUGAAGAAGUUGUGAACAUUCUAGAAGACAGCCAUUAAUAUGAUUUAGCUAUUAUAGUUUCUAAUAAAACAUUUCUUACUUUUGAAUUUCAGUUAGUCAGCAGUAAUUGGGACUAUCUUAAACUCAGUUAGGUGCCCAUUCCUAGAUCAAAGCAUGAUAGGCACUAGGUGGGAUCAUGUCAUUCUCACGUGGGAAAGCCUUUUUAAUAAAUGGUGUGGAAGUGAGAGGCAAUUUAUUGAAGGAAAGACUAUCUCAACAACCACUUACUUGCUGAAUUAACUGCUAGUGUCCAAAUUGGGGCUGGAUUCUGUUUAUUCUAUGGUAGGCCAAUAUCACAGGUGUGUGCGUGUGCGUGUGUGUGUUGAAAUCUGAGUAAAACAUUGAGAUGAAUAUUAAAAUAAGAUAAAUUCCCAUCUGUUUGGAAUGGAACAAUUUAAAACAUGUUUCUUUACUAAGUUAAGAAAACCAUAUAAUUUAUAUGAUUACAAAAUAAUUUCCCCAGUAUACCAGAAUUGAAAUGAAAGACAGCCUGCUUCCCAAAUAAAAUGUGGUGUGAGUAUAUAUUUGUACAUUGAUGUGUGAGUGUAUGUUUGUAUU